This 75-nucleotide transfer RNA is filed under the name Caenimonas sedimenti. RNAcentral's name for it is "Caenimonas sp. HX-9-20 tRNA-Val". It matches the Rfam family "tRNA". From Rfam's summary of the family: Transfer RNA (tRNA) molecules are approximately 80 nucleotides in length. Their secondary structure includes four short double-helical elements and three loops (D, anti-codon, and T loops). Lineage: Bacteria; Pseudomonadati; Pseudomonadota; Betaproteobacteria; Burkholderiales; Comamonadaceae. The record is from RNAcentral.
GGGCCGCUAGCUCAGUGGUAGAGCAUCGCUUUGACGUAGCGAGGGUCGGGGAUUCGAUCUCCUCGCGGCCCACCA